AUACCAGCACCCCGAGUGGUCGGGACGAUUAUUGGGCCUAAAGCAUCCGUAGCCGGUUCUACAAGUCUUCCGUUAAAUCCACCUGCUUAACAGAUGGGCUGCGGAGGAUACUAUGGAGCUAGGAGGCGGGAGAGGCGAGCGGUACUUAGUGGGUAGGGGUAAAAUCCGUUGAUCCAUUGAAGACCACCAGUGGCGAAGGCGGCUUGCCAGAACGCACUCGACGGUGAGGGAUGAAAGCUGGGGGAGCAAACCGGAUUAGAUACCCGGGUAGUCCCAGCUGUAAACGAUGCAGACUCGGUGAUGAAUAGGCUUCGUGCCUAUUCAAUGCCGCAGGGAAGCCGUUAAGUCUGCCGCCUGGGGAGUACGGUCGCAAGACUGAAACUCAAAUGAAUUGACGGGG
This 400-nucleotide ribosomal RNA is filed under the name uncultured bacterium. Its description in RNAcentral is "partial 16S ribosomal RNA". It matches the Rfam family "Archaeal small subunit ribosomal RNA", at positions 473 to 873 of the family's 1478-position model. The record is from RNAcentral.